CACAGGUGAGAAUACACCAAUCAGUGACCGUGUACGAUGACUGCAAGCGCCACGUGGUUUCGAAGCGAACGAACGACGCUCUUGUAAAGGGUGAAGAACGUGUGAGCAUGACAUCAGUUUGUUUGGGGAGAAUGACGUCAACUUACAUGUCUGUAGAUAACCAGGCACCGGGGGCCCAGAAUGCUUUGACACUGAUUGGGACAGACAGCAUCAUUAAAAUACAGCUUGGCAUGCAACGAGCACUGACAAAUGUGGUAUGGAGAAAUCAGUUAAUAAAUCACGCUUGUUAGCGCACUUGAUUGUGAUUAAUAAUUCAUUAUUUUCAAAAUAAUCUGUUCAUUUGCAUCUAUCAAAACACAUCAAUUAGCAAAGGCAAUUUGGGUUUCUCGCGCAAUGUAAAUUGACAAAAACCCAGAUUUUACUUUCCAUUAAUGAAACUUUGCAUGUCGUGACGGCAUUUGCAUAAUUGGACCUGCUAUAAUCAGCCAAUUUAAAUAUGUUCAACUACUUUGCUUUUUGUUUGAAGAGCAUUGUUGUCAUUAUUAGAAUAGAAGGCGUAGUAUUGCCGGGGAACGUUUAUUUUUAUGCAUCUCACAUGAUCUCCUCCAUCUAUUAUCAACCUUUUUCCUAUUUAUUUAGUCCUUGCUCUGCGCUCUGGUGUCAGAGAUCACUGCACGCCUCCUUCAGAGUGAAAAACAAAUCACACACCACAAAGCUGCACUUUAAACCAUUUCCCAAAAGGCCAAGCAUAAGCCAAGCCACUUGCAUGAAACGGCAGAGGCUUUCAUUUCUUUCUUUCCAAUUGAUUUCUAACCAUCUUGGGCUGUGAAUUCUCAGUGAAAGACAAAUGUCUUUGCAUCUUGCCUUGUUGACUUCCAGAUUGUUCUUAUUUCCAAACUAAAAAUUUUCCAUGCGUGUCAUAAGAACACAAAUGAACUUUAUGGUGGCUUUGUCAGAAUCCUGUUGAAGAAAUCGUUGUAUCAUGUGAUUGUGACAAAUGUUGUCUGCUCAUUCUCAGGCUAGUCGUUUGGAAGAAUGUUUUGGGCAGUGUUAUUUGGUUAUUUACCUUUCCCGGACACAGCGCAGGUUUGAUUCCCAACCACUGCCUCGUCAUUGUCGAUCCGAACUGGAUGAAAAAUGGG
Long non-coding RNA from Hippocampus comes (tiger tail seahorse), 1142 nucleotides. RefSeq lists it as uncharacterized. NCBI's taxonomy places the organism in Eukaryota, Metazoa, Chordata, Actinopteri, Syngnathiformes, Syngnathidae. The record is from RefSeq and is a predicted model, not a curated record. The transcript has 4 exons.